RNAcentral lists this ribosomal RNA (460 nucleotides) under uncultured bacterium. Its description in RNAcentral is "partial 16S ribosomal RNA". It matches the Rfam family "Bacterial small subunit ribosomal RNA", at positions 338 to 795 of the family's 1533-position model. The record is from RNAcentral.
CCUACGGGUGGCUGCAGUGAGGAAUAUUGGUCAAUGGGCGCGAGCCUGAACCAGCCAAGUAGCGUGAAGGAUGACUGCCCUACGGAUUGUAAACUUCUUUUAUAAGGGAAUAAAACGAGGCACGUGUGCCUUUUUGCAUGUACUUUAUGAAUAAGGAUCGGCUAACUCCGUGCCAGCAGCCGCGGUAAUACGGAGGAUCCGAGCGUUAUCCGGAGUUAUUGGGUUUAAAGGGAGCGUAGAUGGGUUUUUAAGUCAGUUGUGAAAGUUUGCGGCUCAACCGUAAAAUUGCAAUUGAUACUGGCAGGCUUGAGUAGAGUUGAGGGAGGCGGAAUUCGGGGUGUAGCGGUGAAAUGCUUAGAUAUCACGAAGAACCCCGAUUGCGAAGGCAGCUUACUAAGCCGUGACUGACAUUGAUGCUCGAAAGUGUGGGUAUCAAACAGGAUUAGAUACCCUUGUAGUC